This 590-nucleotide long non-coding RNA is filed under the name Ornithorhynchus anatinus (platypus). RNAcentral describes it as "lncRNA (ENSOANG00000046735.1)". The record is from RNAcentral. Lineage: Eukaryota; Metazoa; Chordata; Mammalia; Monotremata; Ornithorhynchidae.
GGGCACUGAUGAGCAAAGGCAGAGCCAAAGGCUAAACUAGCAGGAGGAUGCCAAAGUUCCUGACAUUGGACUGAGUAGCGAAGGGAAGGCGUUCAGGAAAACAAGGGGGGAAUAUUACCCCAGCCCCCUCUAAAGGGGGAGUACCGAGAAUGAAAGAAUAGUUAAAACUGAGAAUUACCUGGAGUUGAGAACCUUCUAAAUUCUCUCCAGGAGGAUAUUUUCCCCAGAAGAAACCCAAGAGGAGGAUUCUAUAAACUGGAAGAGCCCUAAGGAAGGAGACCACUGAUUUAUCAUGGGAGCUGGUGUUCUGGUGAAAGGUCUUAUCCAAGAGGAGCAACCAAAUGAUCUCUCAGAUGUCUCAGAUGUUGUUUUUGCCCAAGAAGGAGGUGGCAGAUCAGAGGAGUUAGUUUGUUUUCUGUUAUCAGAUAACAUACACCAAGAAGAGAAGCCUUUGAUGGGCAUGUUUUAUACACGCUGAAAUAAAACAAUCCUCCCUCAGACUUGGAUGCUGAAAUUCUCCUUGGCAGUCUGCAGUGCCAUGACUCUUUGCUGGCCAUAUCUCUGAGCACGGUGCACCUUGUUGGAGACCU